RNAcentral lists this long non-coding RNA (584 nucleotides) under Rattus norvegicus (Norway rat). RNAcentral's name for it is "long non-coding RNA NONRATT003280". The record is from RNAcentral. Lineage: Eukaryota; Metazoa; Chordata; Mammalia; Rodentia; Muridae.
AUGCAAAGAGCCUGCAUAGUGGAAUAGUGCAGCUGUCCAAUGGGCAGCAAUGGUAAAGACUUCUUUUUUUUUUUAGUUGAAUUUUUUUUAAUCUUUAUUAACUUGAGUAUUUCUUAUUUACAUUUCGAUUGUUAUUCCCCUUCUGGGCUUCCGGGCCAACAUCCCCCUAACCCUCCCCCUCCCCUUCUUUUUUUUUUUUUUUUUUGGUCUUUUUUUUUUUUUGGUCUUUUUUUUUGUUGGUGGUCUUUUUUUUUUUUUUUCUCGGAGCUGGGGACCGAACCCAGGGCCUUGCACUUCCUAGGCAAGCGCUCUACCACUGAGCUAAAUCCCCAACCCCUCCCCCUUCCCUUCUAUAUGGGUGUUCCCCUCCCCAUCCUCCCCCCAUUUCCGCCCGCCCCCCAACAAUCACAUUCACUGAGGGUUCAGUCUUAGCAGGACCAAGGGCUUCCCCUUCCGCUGGUGAUCUUACUAGGCUAUUCAUUGCUACCUAUGAGGUUGGAGCCCAGGGUCAGUCCAUGUAUAGUCUUUGGGUAGGGGCUUAGUCCCUGGAAGCUCUGGUUGCUUGGCAUUGUUGUUCAUAUGGG